GAGAGAGAGAGAGAGAGAGAGUUAGUUAGGAAGGAAGAAAUACCUGGUCUGCUCCAAGUCUGCUGGCAGCACGAGUUGAAGCCUUAGUUUAUGCUGUUAAAAAAAAAUUAUAAGUGGAUGUUAUUUUGCUCAUCGGUCCCCCCACGCCUCUUGCCUCAGCGCUCUCGGGUGCUCACCUCCUUCAAGUUGACUUGCCUCAGCUAGGUGAGGUAGCAGGGCCUCGCCUUGCCUUGCUUUUGCCUUUUUCCGCCUUUAACGACACUGUUGUGCAUCUGUAAUAUAUUAAGCUUUCAAGACAAGUGGAUAUUGGAGUAAGAAUCAUGUGUUCAAACUAAGCAACCCUUCUGUGUUGGUUAGUUUGGUGAGAGCCCCACAUGUGCAGAUGGGCAAAUGGGAGCACAUAGAUUGCACCCCUUUGUUUUCAAAUUUAAUUUGCUCAUUAAGUGCAAGGAAAAAAAAAAAA
Molecule: unclassified non-coding RNA, 463 nt
Filed under: Hevea brasiliensis (rubber tree)
Lineage: Eukaryota; Viridiplantae; Streptophyta; Magnoliopsida; Malpighiales; Euphorbiaceae
Source: RNAcentral